AAAAGAGAUAGAAGUGAUGCGGGAGCUUACAGAGGUGACUCUAAUGGAUCUUCCUUCAUGGGGGUUGCUUUUGGAUAGCCAAUUUAUACAUCCAAUAGGCCUAAAGCGGAGGCAACAAACCUUAACUCCUUAAUCCAAUACUUGGAGAUGGAUCACUUUUAAAAGAUAGAGAAAGAGAAAAGAGAUUCUAUAAUUGAAGAAGAG
This 204-nucleotide long non-coding RNA is filed under the name Elaeis guineensis (African oil palm). RNAcentral's name for it is "long non-coding RNA (EGUI_LNC033118)". The record is from RNAcentral. Lineage: Eukaryota; Viridiplantae; Streptophyta; Magnoliopsida; Arecales; Arecaceae.